RNAcentral lists this unclassified non-coding RNA (25 nucleotides) under Mus musculus (house mouse). RNAcentral's name for it is "oocyte_clustered_small_RNA14161". The record is from RNAcentral. Lineage: Eukaryota; Metazoa; Chordata; Mammalia; Rodentia; Muridae.
UAGAAUUUUGGGAAUCAUUUAUGUG